AGUGAACGCUGGCGGUAGGCCUAACACAUGCAAGUCGAACGGCAGCACAGUAAGAGCUUGCUCUUACGGGUGGCGAGUGGCGGACGGGUGAGGAAUACAUCGGAAUCUACUUUUUCGUGGGGGAUAACGUAGGGAAACUUACGCUAAUACCGCAUACGACCUACGGGUGAAAGCAGGGGAUCUUCGGACCUUGCGCGAUUGAAUGAGCCGAUGUCGGAUUAGCUAGUUGGCGGGGUAAAGGCCCACCAAGGCGACGAUCCGUAGCUGGUCUGAGAGGAUGAUCGGCCACACUGGAACUGAAACCCGGUCCAGACUCCUACGGGAGGCAGCAGAGGGGAAUAUUGGACAAAGGGCGCAAGCCUGAUCCAGCCAUACCGCGUGGGUGAAGAAGGCCUUCGGGUUGUAAAGCCCUUUUGUUGGGAAAGAAAAGCAGCAGGUUAAUACCCCGCUGUUCUGACGGUACCCAAAGAAUAAGCACCGGCUAACUUCGUG
This 492-nucleotide ribosomal RNA is filed under the name uncultured bacterium. RNAcentral describes it as "partial 16S ribosomal RNA". It matches the Rfam family "Bacterial small subunit ribosomal RNA", at positions 29 to 507 of the family's 1533-position model. The record is from RNAcentral.